Long non-coding RNA from Oncorhynchus keta (chum salmon), 395 nucleotides. RefSeq lists it as uncharacterized. The record is from RefSeq and is a predicted model, not a curated record. The transcript has 3 exons. Lineage: Eukaryota; Metazoa; Chordata; Actinopteri; Salmoniformes; Salmonidae.
GUUCUCUCUCUCUCCUCAGACCAUUCACGUGGCCAUCGUGUGUGCCGGGUACAACGCCAGUCGUGAUGUGGUGACACUCGUCAAGUCAGUCCUUUUUCACAGGCGAAACCCUCUCCACUUCCACAUCAUAACGGACUCUACAGCCCAGCAGAUCCUCGCCUCUCUGUUCCGUACCUGGAUGGUCCCUGCUGUCAGGGUGGACUUCUACGAUGCAGACGAACUCAAGGCUGAGGUGUCGUGGAUCCAACAAGCAUUACUCCGGUAUCUACGGUCUGAUGAAGCUGGUGCUCACCAAGACCUUACCCCCAGACCUGCAGAAAGUCAUCGUCCUGGACACAGAUAUCACCUUCGCUACGGACAUCGCUGAGCUCUGGGCCGUCUUCCACAAGUUCAAA